RNAcentral lists this ribosomal RNA (480 nucleotides) under uncultured bacterium. Its description in RNAcentral is "bacterial SSU rRNA". It matches the Rfam family "Bacterial small subunit ribosomal RNA", at positions 28 to 507 of the family's 1533-position model. The record is from RNAcentral.
GAUGAACGCUAGCGGCAGGCUUAACACAUGCAAGUCGAGGGGUAGAAGCAGCUUGCUUACUUGAGACCGGCGCACGGGUGCGUAACGCGUAUGCAAUCUACCUUAUACAGGGGAAUAGCCCAGAGAAAUUUGGAUUAAUGCCCCAUAGUGUUAUUGAAUCGCAUGUUUUAAUAACUAAAGUUCCAACGGUAUAAGAUGAGCAUGCGUCCCAUUAGUUAGUUGGUAAGGUAACGGCUUACCAAGACGAUGAUGGGUAGGGGUCCUGAGAGGGAGAUCCCCCACACUGGUACUGAGACACGGACCAGACUCCUACGGGAGGCAGCAGUGAGGAAUAUUGGUCAAUGGGCGCAAGCCUGAACCAGCCAUGCCGCGUGCAGGAAGACGGUCCUAUGGAUUGUAAACUGCUUUUAUACAGGAAGAAACAACUCUACGAGUAGAGUCUUGACGGUACUGUAGGAAUAAGGAUCGGCUAACUCCGUG